CACCUUUUAGUGCUUACCACAGUCUGUGUUCUUACACUGACUAUGUAGAAAGAGGAGGCAAAGUAAACCUACCCCAUAUAUACCUCAGUUUAGGCCCUGUGCCUAGUUUAUAUUAUGAAUGGGGAGACAUGG
Molecule: small nucleolar RNA, 132 nt
Filed under: Castor canadensis (American beaver)
Lineage: Eukaryota; Metazoa; Chordata; Mammalia; Rodentia; Castoridae
Description: Small nucleolar RNA SNORA51 (ENSCCNG00000020107.1)
Rfam family: Small nucleolar RNA SNORA51
About the family: ACA51 is a member of the H/ACA class of snoRNA that guide the sites of modification of uridines to pseudouridines.
Source: Rfam by way of RNAcentral